GACGUAGGGCGCGAGCGUUGUCCGGAUUUAUUGGGCGUAAAGAGCUCGUAGGCGGCUUGUCGCGUCGUCCGUGAAAACCUGCGGCUCAACUGCAGGCUGGCGGUCGAUACGGGCAGGCUGGAGUUCGGUAGGGGAGACUGGAAUUCCUGGUGUAGCGGUGAAAUGCGCAGAUAUCAGGAGGAACACCGGUGGCGAAGGCGGGUCUCUGGGCCGAUACUGACGCUGAGGCGCGAAAGCUAGGGUAGCAAACGGG
This 253-nucleotide ribosomal RNA is filed under the name uncultured bacterium. Its description in RNAcentral is "partial 16S ribosomal RNA". It matches the Rfam family "Bacterial small subunit ribosomal RNA", at positions 524 to 776 of the family's 1533-position model. The record is from RNAcentral.